This 105-nucleotide microRNA precursor is filed under the name Picea abies (Norway spruce). Its description in RNAcentral is "miR11437 stem-loop (pab-MIR11437)". The record is from miRBase by way of RNAcentral. Lineage: Eukaryota; Viridiplantae; Streptophyta; Pinopsida; Pinales; Pinaceae.
GCAGCUAGCUAUCUAAUAUCAAUGUCGGCCUUUGCCUCUCCCCCUUUUACGAGAAAAGAUAAGGGGUUGUUUGUCAGGCCUGCCCUUGACAGUAGAAGGCCCUGC